GAUGAACGCUGGCGGCGUGCCUAACACAUGCAAGUCGAACGAACAGACGAGGAGCUCGUUCUUCUGAGGUUGGCGGCGGGCGGGGGAGUGACACGUAGAUCACCAACCAAUUAUACUGGGAUUACUUCGGGGAACCGGAGACAAUACCGCAUCAUAGAUAGAACUGCAGGGUGCAGUAGGUAAUGGCAGUUUUGCUGUCACUUAUAGCUGAUUCCGCGCCGCAUUAGCUAGUUGGUAAGGUAACGGCUUACCAAGGCAACGAUGCGUAGCCGACCUGAGAGGGUGAUCGGCCACACUGGAACUGAGACACGGUCCAGACUCCUACGGGAGGCAGCAGUAGGGAAUCUUGCACAAUGGGCGAAAGCCUGACCGAGCAACGCCGCGUGAGUGAAGAAGGUCUUCGGAUCGUAAAACUCUGUUAUUAGGGAAGAACAGAAGUGUAAGUAACUAUGCACGUCUUGACGGUACCUAAAGAAAAAGCCCCGGCUAACUACGUG
This 497-nucleotide ribosomal RNA is filed under the name uncultured bacterium. RNAcentral describes it as "partial 16S ribosomal RNA". It matches the Rfam family "Bacterial small subunit ribosomal RNA", at positions 28 to 507 of the family's 1533-position model. The record is from RNAcentral.